Molecule: ribosomal RNA, 488 nt
Filed under: uncultured bacterium
Lineage: Bacteria
Description: bacterial SSU rRNA
Rfam family: Bacterial small subunit ribosomal RNA
Source: RNAcentral
AGAGUUUGAUCAGUGGCUCAGGACGAACGCUGGCGGCGUUGCUUAACACAUGCAAGUCGAACGAUGAACCAGGGCUUGCCCUGGGGAUUAGUGGCGAACGGGUGAGUAACACGUGGGCAACCUGCCCCAGACACCGGGAUAACCUCUCGAAAGAGUGGCUAAUACCGGAUAUGACCACUUCGGGCAUCCGACGGUGGUGGAAAGGAUUCUGGUCUGGGAUGGGCCCGCGGCCUAUCAGCUAGUUGGUGGGGUAAUGGCCUACCAAGGCGACGACGGGUAGCCGGCCUGAGAGGGCGACCGGCCACACUGGGACUGAGACACGGCCCAGACUCCUACGGGAGGCAGCAGUGGGGAAUAUUGCGCAAUGGGCGAAAGCCUGACGCAGCGACGCCGCGUGAGGGACGAAGGUCUUCGGAUUGUAAACCUCUUUCAGCAGGGACGAAGCGAAAGUGACUGUACCUGCAGAAGAAGCACCGGCUAACUACGUG